UUGUCGUUGAUAUAGUUAUUCUCGUUGUUGUCGCUGUUGUCGUCGUCGUUGUUGUUGUCGUUGUUGUCGCUGUUGUUGUCGUUGUUGUCGUCGUUCUCGUCAUCGUACUUUGUUGUUGUUGUUGUCAUUGUCGUUGUUGUUUUUGUUGUUGUUUUUGUCGUUGUCGUCGUCGUCGCCUUCGUUGUUUUUAUCGUUGUUGCCAUUGUUGUCGUUGCUGGUGUUGUUGUCGUUGUUGUCGUUGUUGUCGUCGUUGUUGUUGUUAUCAUUGUUGUCGUUCUUCUCGUCAUUGUUGUUCUUGUCAUCGUCGUCAUUCUCGUCGUCGUCCUUGUUGUUGUUGUUGUN
RNAcentral lists this long non-coding RNA (342 nucleotides) under Hordeum vulgare. RNAcentral's name for it is "long non-coding RNA (HVUL_LNC021251)". Lineage: Eukaryota; Viridiplantae; Streptophyta; Magnoliopsida; Poales; Poaceae. The record is from RNAcentral.